Molecule: non-coding RNA, 25 nt
Filed under: Cricetulus griseus (Chinese hamster)
Lineage: Eukaryota; Metazoa; Chordata; Mammalia; Rodentia; Cricetidae
Source: RNAcentral
CUUAGACGUGGACUCAUCUCAAAAG